This 218-nucleotide ribosomal RNA is filed under the name uncultured bacterium. Its description in RNAcentral is "partial 16S ribosomal RNA". It matches the Rfam family "Bacterial small subunit ribosomal RNA", at positions 18 to 232 of the family's 1533-position model. The record is from RNAcentral.
CCUGGCUCAGAUUGAACGCUGGCGGCAUGCCUAACACAUGCAAGUCGAACGGCAGCAUCGUUUAGGGAACUAGACGGAUGGCGAGUGGCGGACGGGUGAGUAACGCGUAGGAAUAUACCUUAAGGGGUGGGAUAACUUGGGGAAACCCAAGCUAAUACCGCAUACGUUCUUAGGAAUAAAGCUGGGGACCUUAUGGCCUGGCGCUUUAAGAUUAGCCU